Trichechus manatus latirostris (Florida manatee) is the source of this 572-nucleotide long non-coding RNA. RefSeq lists it as uncharacterized. The record is from RefSeq and is a predicted model, not a curated record. NCBI's taxonomy places the organism in Eukaryota, Metazoa, Chordata, Mammalia, Sirenia, Trichechidae. The transcript is spliced from 3 exons.
UCGGAGUGUCCGCGUGGUGCGCACCGCCUCCUGGCGCUUGCGCACUGAGCGGCCGAAGGCUGGGCGGGAAGGAAAAACGCCGGGCGCUGUAAUGGCGUAUGUGUUCACUUCAGGGUCACACUAACCCGACGCCGGGGGUUGAAGGCGGUGAGAUUGAACGGGAAAGUUCGUCUCACUCUUACCACCUCUCCAUUAGUUGCUGGGCCCCGCGCCGGACUCUCGGGAUGGAAAGAUUAAUAAUAAACGACUGAAAGUGUUGUUAAGAAAACAGCCACCAUACUGUGAGAGGCCAGAGCUACGUGAAGAGGUGCAAUGAUUGACAACCCCUGCUGAACUCCCAGCCAACAGCCGGCAUCAUCUGCCAGCCCCGUCUGUGAGCCAUCUUGGACAUCCAUCCCUGUCGAGCCUUCAGAUGGCUGCAGCCCCAGCUUCUAAUGACUGCAACCACAUGUGAGACCCCAGACUCAACCUUGACUCCUGACUAGGGAGAAAGGCCUUGCAAUCUACUUCCAAAAAUGAGCCAGUGAAAACCCUACAGAUCACAACAGAAUAUUGUCUGAUAUAGUGCCGGC